Molecule: ribosomal RNA, 228 nt
Filed under: uncultured bacterium
Lineage: Bacteria
Description: partial 16S ribosomal RNA
Rfam family: Bacterial small subunit ribosomal RNA
Source: RNAcentral
CGCGUAGGCGGUCUUUUAAGUCAGGUGUGAAAGCCCGGGGCUCAACCCCGGAAGUGCACUUGAAACUAAGAGACUUGAGUAUGGGAGAGGGAAGUGGAAUUCCUGGUGUAGCGGUGAAAUGCGUAGAUAUCAGGAGGAACAUCGGUGGCGAAGGCGACUUCCUGGACCAAUACUGACGCUGAGGCGCGAAGGCGUGGGGAGCAAACAGGAUUAGCUACCCUGGUAGUC